GCCUUCGUGGUGUAACGGUAGCACACUCGGCGCGUAUUCGAGAGGUCCAGGUUCAAGUCCCGGCGAAGGCA
This 71-nucleotide transfer RNA is filed under the name Stegodyphus mimosarum. It matches the Rfam family "tRNA". Rfam says of the family: Transfer RNA (tRNA) molecules are approximately 80 nucleotides in length. Their secondary structure includes four short double-helical elements and three loops (D, anti-codon, and T loops). Lineage: Eukaryota; Metazoa; Arthropoda; Arachnida; Araneae; Eresidae. The record is from Rfam by way of RNAcentral.